Molecule: ribosomal RNA, 20 nt
Filed under: Myrialepis paradoxa
Lineage: Eukaryota; Viridiplantae; Streptophyta; Magnoliopsida; Arecales; Arecaceae
Description: partial 26S ribosomal RNA
Source: RNAcentral
GCAACCGUAGGUCAGGCAGG